RNAcentral lists this ribosomal RNA (503 nucleotides) under Ganoderma lucidum. RNAcentral's name for it is "SSU rRNA". It matches the Rfam family "Bacterial small subunit ribosomal RNA", at positions 409 to 950 of the family's 1533-position model. The record is from RNAcentral. Lineage: Eukaryota; Fungi; Basidiomycota; Agaricomycetes; Polyporales; Polyporaceae.
UCAUUGAAUUUCUUUAAAUUCAUGAUGUCGUAAGGGAAAAUAAUGAUAAUACCUUACUAUGAGUGUCGUCCAAAUCUGGUGCCAGAAGACUCGGUAAGACCAGAGACGCAAACGUUAAUCAUCAUAAACAGGCGUAAAGGGUUUGUAGGCAGCUUUUAUAAAAUUGUCAAAGGUAAUUUAAUUGAAAGCUAGAAUCAAAAAGAGGUUAUAGUGUAUAACGCCUAGAGGAGGGCUGAUAUCCGUAGAUCCUAGGCAGAAUACUCAGGGCGAAGGCCACUCUCCACUAAUGAUUGACGCUGAGAAACGAAGGUUAGGGUAGGAAAUAGGAUUAGAUACCCCGGUACUCCUUUCUGUAAACGAUGAAUGGUAGUCAUUAGUUUAAUUAAAAUAACUAGAGGCGAAGUUAACACAAUAACCAUUCCGCCUUGUGAGUACUACUGCAAAGUAGAAAACAAAAAAAUUAGUCGGUCUCGAAGCAAACGGAGUGAAGCAUGUUAUUUAAU